AAUCAACGCUGGCGGCGUGCCUCAGACAUGCAAGUCGAACGAUUAAGACCCUCUUCGGAGGGUGUAUAAAGUGGCGCACGGGUGAGUAACACGUAGGUAAUGUGCCUUUGGGUGGGGAAUAACUUAGGGAAACUUAAGCUGAUACCGCAUAAUGCAGCGGCUCGACAUCGAGACAGUUGUUAAAGGAGUAAUCCGCCUAAAGAGCAGCCUGCGGCAGAUUAGCUAGUAGGUAAGGUAAUGGCUUACCAAGGCUACGAUCUGUAACCGACCUGAGAGGGUGGUCGGUCACACUGACACUGAAUAACGGGUCAGAUUCCUACGGGAGGCAGCAGUCGGGAAUUUUGGGCAAUGGGCGAAGGCCUGAACCAGCAACGCCGCGUGAAGGAUGAAGUAUUUCGGUAUGUAAACUUCGUAAGAAUAGGAAGAAUAAAUGACGGUACUAUUUGUAAGGUCCGGCUAACUACGUGCCAGCCGCCGCCGUAA
This 483-nucleotide ribosomal RNA is filed under the name uncultured bacterium. RNAcentral describes it as "partial 16S ribosomal RNA". It matches the Rfam family "Bacterial small subunit ribosomal RNA", at positions 32 to 523 of the family's 1533-position model. The record is from RNAcentral.